Molecule: ribosomal RNA, 614 nt
Filed under: uncultured bacterium
Lineage: Bacteria
Description: bacterial SSU rRNA
Rfam family: Bacterial small subunit ribosomal RNA
Source: RNAcentral
AGAGUUUGAUCCUGGCUCAGAACGAACGCUGGCGGCAGGCCUAACACAUGCAAGUCGAGCGAACCUUCGGGUUAGCGGCGAACGGGUGAGUAACGCGUGGGAAUGUGCCCUUCUCUACGGAAUAGUCCCGGGAAACUGGGUUUAAUACCGUAUACGCCCUUCGGGGGAAAGAUUUAUCGGAGAAGGAUCAGCCCGCGUUGGAUUAGGUAGUUGGUGGGGUAAUGGCCUACCAAGCCGACGAUCCAUAGCUGGUUUGAGAGGAUGAUCAGCCACACUGGGACUGAGACACGGCCCAGACUCCUACGGGAGGCAGCAGUGGGGAAUCUUAGACAAUGGGGGAAACCCUGAUCUAGCCAUGCCGCGUGAGUGACGAAGGCCCUAGGGUCGUAAAGCUCUUUCGCCAGGGAUGAUAAUGACAGUACCUGGUAAAGAAACCCCGGCUAACUCCGUGCCAGCAGCCGCGGUAAUACGGAGGGGGUUAGCGUUGUUCGGAAUUACUGGGCGUAAAGCGCACGUAGGCGGACUAUUAAGUCAGGGGUGAAAUCCCGGGGCUCAACCCCGGAACUGCCUUUGAUACUGGUAGUCUUGAGUUCGAGAGAGGUGAGUGGAAUUCC